Molecule: non-coding RNA, 21 nt
Filed under: Rattus norvegicus (Norway rat)
Lineage: Eukaryota; Metazoa; Chordata; Mammalia; Rodentia; Muridae
Source: RNAcentral
UUCCUUUAUUGCUUUAAAUCC